This 468-nucleotide ribosomal RNA is filed under the name uncultured bacterium. RNAcentral describes it as "partial 16S ribosomal RNA". It matches the Rfam family "Bacterial small subunit ribosomal RNA", at positions 28 to 507 of the family's 1533-position model. The record is from RNAcentral.
GACGAACGCUGGCGGCGUGCUUAACACAUGCAAGUCGAACGGAAAGGCCCUGCUUUUGUGGGGUGCUCGAGUGGCGAACGGGUGAGUAACACGUGAGUAACCUGCCCUUGACUUUGGGAUAACUUCAGGAAACUGGGGCUAAUACCGGAUAGGAGCUCCUGCUGCAUGGUGGGGGUUGGAAAGUUUCGGCGGUUGGGGAUGGACUCGCGGCUUAUCAGCUUGUUGGUGGGGUAGUGGCUUACCAAGGCUUUGACGGGUAGCCGGCCUGAGAGGGUGACCGGCCACCUUGGGACUGAGGUACGGCCCAGACUCCUACGGGGGGCAGCAGUGGGGAAUAUUGCACAAUGGGCGGAAGCCUGAUGCAGCAACGCCGCGUGCGGGAUGACGGCCUUCGGGUUGUAAACCGCUUUCGCCUGUGACGAAGCGUGAGUGACGGUAAUGGGUAAAGAAGCACCGGCUAACUACGUG